GUGAGUGAACAAUCAACGAAAUCGUAGUUUUCAAAUUACUUCUACCUGGAGACUUGUACAUCAUCCCUUGGGUGCUCGUUUUAUUCUAUCCGACCCAAAGAAUAUCAGUCUGGUCCCUAUUUGGACAUUCGUUUCGCAAAAAUGUGUAUAUUACAAAUAAAUUAAUGCAGAAAUGACGACGAAAACCGAAAACUCGCGUCUAGGGAUUUUUCUAGGGACUGUUGGUAAAGUUUUCGACGCUCGAAAAAGUGCAGAAACAUUCGUAAGUAAGAAUUAAUCAUGUAUGGAUUCAUUUUAUUAAAUGUGUAAGGAAAUUUGUGGCAUAACAAGUUAUAUGCCAUAAUACUUUCGUACCCAAUAUUUUAUUAUGACUACGAUUAGUUACAUAAUUUACAUUUCAUAGAAUUGGCACAUUUACAAAGAACGGUAUAAAACUUAUUAAUCGUAAAUAUUGGGCCUGAUAAAGUAAAUACCGUAAUAGUGCAAAGAAACAAUAGAAAUGUAUAGAUAUUUACAAUGUAAAUCGGAAGUUUUGAUUGUAUAAAUACUUUGAACGUAUUAAUAAAUACGUAUAAAUCUAUAUCAUAGAGUAAGUCAAAUGUAAAAACUCACCAUAGUUGAUGAAUAAUGUUGUGUUAAUGAAUAAUGAUGAAUAUUGUUCAGUUCAUAAGACGCUAACAGUAUCGUAGUAUUUAAUUUAACCAACAAAAGUACCUUAGAUCUAACUAUGAAUGAUAGCUAUAUUGCAACUGAUGAAAUAUUCAUUAGAUAUCAAUAUUAUAUAAAUGUAAAAACCAACUUGAAUGUAAAAACAUCUAAAAAAUGGCAAAAAACCUUCUCCAUUAACUCUUACUAUAAAAGUAAGCUACAACUGUUAUACAGGACAUUAACCAAACUUUUAACCAAUACUGCAAACAUAUUCCAUAACUUCGUACGUAUGUUAUUUAUGCCUGUAAUUUUUCUUACUAGUAAUAAAAUAUGAAGUGUCACACAUAGACACUAGUGUAAUAAAA
Molecule: long non-coding RNA, 1013 nt
Organism: Osmia bicornis bicornis
Lineage: Eukaryota; Metazoa; Arthropoda; Insecta; Hymenoptera; Megachilidae
Exons: 2
Source: RefSeq, a predicted model, not a curated record